UGCCAUGUCAGUCUCUCUUCAUAAAAUGCUAUCACAAUUUGUGGACAUUUCACAUUAGCUUCUUUUGCAAGAACCAGGUCAGCUUCAUCUGUGUCUUUCCAUUUCAUUAGGAACAUUAAAUCACCACAGGAAUCUGUUGCCCCAAUGAUCUUUUCUGGUUCCAGUCCUCUCUCAAAGCCCCGAGCGAUAUCAUUGCUCUGCUCUCUCUUUUUUUUAGAUUUGAUGUCAUCGGCACUGUUUGAGAAAUUGGAUUUCCUCUUGUUACUUUCUGACUUCUCC
Molecule: long non-coding RNA, 279 nt
Filed under: Homo sapiens (human)
Lineage: Eukaryota; Metazoa; Chordata; Mammalia; Primates; Hominidae
Description: LNC_000833
Source: RNAcentral